AUGCCAUCGCGCCGCGUCGCCGUGAUCGGCGCGGGGGCGGCCGGCCUGGUGGCUGCGCGGGAGCUGCGGCGGGAGGGCCACGCGCCGGCGCCCGUCGUCUUCGAGCGCGCAGUCGGCGUGGGCGGCACCUGGCGCUACGACGACGCGGCCUCGGCGGACCCGCUCGGCGCCGGCGGCGUCCACGGCAGCCUCUACGCAUCCCUCCGCACCAACCUGCCCCGCGAGUCCAUGGGCUUCCUCGACUUCCCCUUCGUCGCCGAUGAGGGCUCCAUUGACCCGCGCAGGUUCCCCGGGCACCAGGAGGUGCUCCGAUACCUCGAGACGUUCGCGCGGCGCUUCGAUCUCCUUGGGCUGGUCCGGCUCCAGACCGAGGUGGUCGGCGUCCGCCGCAGCAGGGUCGACGGCGUGGGCGCGGGUGCGGCGGGCUGGACGGUCUCCUACUGCUCGAGGAAGCUCGCCGGCGGGGAACUACAGGAGGAGGAGGAGCAGUCGGAGGUGUUCGACGCCGUUGUCGUCUGCAACGGCCACUUCGCCGAGCCCCUCCUCGCGGACAUCGCCGGCAUAGGCGGCUGGCCCGGGAAGCAACUGCACAGCCACAGCUACCGUGUGCCCGACCCGUUCCACGGCCAAGUCGUGGUGGUAAUAGGAUACCACCCCAGCGGGAUGGACAUCUCGAGGGACAUCGCCGGCGUUGCCAAAGAGGUCCAUGUCGCCAUUCGAGCGGCUCCUGCCGAGAUGCAGAGCGCCACUGCCCAUGCCAACCUGUGGCUACAUCCCAUGAUUGAAUGUGCCGAGGAAGAUGGCAGCGUGGUGUUCCAGGAUGGCAGUCGGGUCAAGGCGGACUCAAUCGUGCACUGCACAGGGUACAAGUACGGGUUCCCGUUCCUGGAGGAGGAUGGUAUAGUGAGCGUGGACAACAACCGUGUGGGUCCGCUUUACAAGCACGUGUUCCCGCCACAGUUGGCCCCUCACAUCUCCUUCAUUGGAUUACCAUUCAAGUUGAUCCUUUUUCCAGUGUUCCGGCUCCAGAGCAACUGGGUGGCGGGAGCACUGUCAGGAAGGAUCGAGCUCCCGUCACCGGAGGAGAUGAUGUUGGAUGUCAUGGCAUUUUACUCCGACAUGGAAGCCCGCGGAUGGCCCAAAAGAUUCACACAUAACCUAGGAGUGGAAGCAUGGACGUUUGAGUAUCAGGACUGGUUGGCGGAGCAGUGCGGGCUGGAGAAGAUGGAAGAGUGGAGGAGGGUGAUAUACGUUGCGGCGAGAGCGAGGGUGUUGGUCCGGCCGGAGAGCUACCGUGACGAGUGGGACGACGACCAACUGGUGGCCCAAGCACACAUCACCUCAUCGACGGCUACUUAUGGUUUAGCUUCUGUCGGCUUCUCGUCCCUUCGGGGACAUGCGAUAAAAGAGUUUAGAUGA
This 1419-nucleotide ribosomal RNA is filed under the name Triticum aestivum (bread wheat). RNAcentral's name for it is "partial small subunit ribosomal RNA". Lineage: Eukaryota; Viridiplantae; Streptophyta; Magnoliopsida; Poales; Poaceae. The record is from RNAcentral.